RNAcentral lists this transfer RNA (69 nucleotides) under Dipodomys ordii (Ord's kangaroo rat). It matches the Rfam family "tRNA". Rfam says of the family: Transfer RNA (tRNA) molecules are approximately 80 nucleotides in length. Their secondary structure includes four short double-helical elements and three loops (D, anti-codon, and T loops). Further hydrogen bonds mediate the characteristic L-shaped molecular structure. tRNAs have two regions of fundamental functional importance: the anti-codon, which is responsible for specific mRNA codon recognition, and the 3' end, to which the tRNAs corresponding amino acid is attached (by aminoacyl-tRNA synthetases). tRNAs cope with the degeneracy of the genetic code in two manners: having more than one tRNA (with a specific anti-codon) for a particular amino acid; and 'wobble' base-pairing, i.e. permitting non-standard base-pairing at the 3rd anti-codon position. The record is from Rfam by way of RNAcentral. Lineage: Eukaryota; Metazoa; Chordata; Mammalia; Rodentia; Heteromyidae.
GGAGAUUUAGCUCAGUGGAAGAGUACUUGCCUGUCAAGUACAAGGUCCUGAGUUCAAUCCUCAGCUCUG